CGCACAUUGCGCCCUCUGGUACUCCGGGGGGCAUGCCUGCUCGAGCGUCAUUGAAAACAUUCAGGCGUUGGCUUGGUUUUUGGGUUCUCGUCCGCAAAGACGUACCCGAAAAAUAUUGGCAGUCCGGUGCGACUUCAAGCGUAGUAAUAUGUCCCGCUCUGAAAGGUUGGCACCGAGCUUGCCACCCAACCCCCUCUUGAUAGUCUCUAUGGGGAUUGACCUCGGAUCAGGUAGGAAUACCCGCUGAACUUAA
Molecule: unclassified non-coding RNA, 253 nt
Filed under: Calicium sequoiae
Lineage: Eukaryota; Fungi; Ascomycota; Lecanoromycetes; Caliciales; Caliciaceae
Description: partial contains 5.8S ribosomal RNA, internal transcribed spacer 2, and large subunit ribosomal RNA
Source: RNAcentral